UGGGGAAUUUUGGACAAUGGGGGCAACCCUGAUCCAGCAAUGCCGCGUGAGUGAAGAAGGCCUUCGGGUUGUAAAGCUCUUUUGUCAGGGAAGAAACGGUCCGGGCUAAUAUCCUGGGCUAAUGACGGUACCUGAAGAAUAAGCACCGGCUAACUACGUGCCAGCAGCCGCGGUAAUACGUAGGGUGCGAGCGUUAAUCGGAAUUACUGGGCGUAAAGCGUGCGCAGGCGGUUGUGCAAGACAGAUGUGAAAUCCCCGGGCUCAACCUGGGAAUUGCAUUUGUGACUGCACGGCUAGAGUGUGUCAGAGGGGGGUAGAAUUCCACGUGUAGCAGUGAAAUGCGUAGAGAUGUGGAGGAAUACCGAUGGCGAAGGCAGCCCCCUGGGAUAACACUGACGCUCAUGCACGAAAGCGUGGGGAGCAAACA
Molecule: ribosomal RNA, 427 nt
Filed under: uncultured Noviherbaspirillum sp.
Lineage: Bacteria; Pseudomonadati; Pseudomonadota; Betaproteobacteria; Burkholderiales; Oxalobacteraceae
Description: bacterial SSU rRNA
Rfam family: Bacterial small subunit ribosomal RNA
Source: RNAcentral